Molecule: non-coding RNA, 137 nt
Organism: Callithrix jacchus (white-tufted-ear marmoset)
Lineage: Eukaryota; Metazoa; Chordata; Mammalia; Primates; Cebidae
Source: Rfam
CAUUUUGCGCAGUGGCAGUACCAUAGCCAAUGAGGUUUACCUGAAGCAUGAUUAUUGCUAAUUGAAACUCAGAGUUGAGCCCCAUAAGGAUUCCAACUUGCUUUGGCUGAAUUCCUUCACUUCAGAAGAAAAAGAAG